AUUGAACGCUGGCGGCAGGCCUAACACAUGCAGGUCGAGCGGAUGAAGGGAGCUUGCUCCUGGAUUCAGCGGCGGACGGGUGAGUAAUGCCUAGGAAUCUGCCUGGUAGUGGGGGAUAACGUCCGGAAACGGGCGCUAAUACCGCAUACGUCCUGAGGGAGAAAGUGGGGGAUCUUCGGACCUCACGCUAUCAGAUGAGCCUAGGUCGGAUUAGCUAGUUGGUGGGGUAAAGGCCUACCAAGGCGACGAUCCGUAACUGGUCUGAGAGGAUGAUCAGUCACACUGGAACUGAGACACGGUCCAGACUCCUACGGGAGGCAGCAGUGGGGAAUAUUGGACAAUGGGCGAAAGCCUGAUCCAGCCAUGCCGCGUGUGUGAAGAAGGUCUUCGGAUUGUAAAGCACUUUAAGUUGGGAGGAAGGGCAGUAAGUUAAUACCUUGCUGUUUUGACGUUACCAACAGAAUAAGCACCGGCUAACCUCGUG
RNAcentral lists this ribosomal RNA (484 nucleotides) under uncultured bacterium. Its description in RNAcentral is "partial 16S ribosomal RNA". It matches the Rfam family "Bacterial small subunit ribosomal RNA", at positions 30 to 507 of the family's 1533-position model. The record is from RNAcentral.